GCAAAAUUGACAGGUUCAGUAACAUUACGGAGUGAAGAGAAUGAUCAAUACCUUGUACUGAGGUGUGUCAUGGGUGCUGUCAUUAGAAUUAGUAAGCUAUAAGUUACUUUGUAUUAAAAGGGUUUGCAAUCACCAAAUAUGACCUUCGUAAUUAUUUGCAUGAAAGAUCAUUUUAUGUAUUUGGAUACAUCUUCAUAAUUACAUUAUUUUGUUGACCACGAAGAAUCAAUAAACACUAUUACAUAAAGCUGUAUCCAAAUCACACCAACUGAUUUUCAUGCA
Sinocyclocheilus grahami is the source of this 282-nucleotide long non-coding RNA. RefSeq lists it as uncharacterized. The record is from RefSeq and is a predicted model, not a curated record. The transcript has 3 exons. NCBI's taxonomy places the organism in Eukaryota, Metazoa, Chordata, Actinopteri, Cypriniformes, Cyprinidae.